GACGAACGCUGGCGGCGUGCUUAACACAUGCAAGUCGAACGGAAAGGCCCUGCUUUUGUGGGGUGCUCGAGUGGCGAACGGGUGAGUAACACGUGAGUAACCUGCCCUUGACUUUGGGAUAACUUCAGGAAACUGGGGCUAAUACCGGAUAGGAGCUCCUGCUGCAUGGUGGGGGUUGGAAAGUUUCGGCGGUUGGGGAUGGACUCGCGGCUUAUCAGCUUGUUGGUGGGGUAGUGGCUUACCAAGGCUUUGACGGGUAGCCGGCCUGAGAGGGUGACCGGCCACAUUGGGACUGAGAUACGGCCCAGACUCCUACGGGAGGCAACAGUGGGGAAUAUUGCACAAUGGGCGGAAGCCUGAUGCAGCAACGCCGCGUGCGGGAUGACGGCCUUCGGGUUGAAACCGCUUUCGCCUGUGACGAAGCGUGAGUGACGGUAAUGGGUAAAGAAGCACCGGCUAACUACGUG
RNAcentral lists this ribosomal RNA (467 nucleotides) under uncultured bacterium. RNAcentral describes it as "partial 16S ribosomal RNA". It matches the Rfam family "Bacterial small subunit ribosomal RNA", at positions 28 to 507 of the family's 1533-position model. The record is from RNAcentral.